This 1189-nucleotide ribosomal RNA is filed under the name uncultured bacterium. RNAcentral describes it as "bacterial SSU rRNA". It matches the Rfam family "Bacterial small subunit ribosomal RNA". The record is from RNAcentral.
AACGCUGGCGGCGUGCCUAAUACAUGCAAGUCGCGCGAAGUUUGUUUUUUUAAGAGCUUAGCGGCGAACGGGUGAGUAACACGUGGGCAAUCUACCCCUUAGUUUGGAAUAACUUUGGGAAACCGAAGCUAAUACUGAAUAAUCUUGUUCUUCAUAUGGGGGAUGAGUAAAAGGCUUUUUGGUUGCUGGGGGAUGAGCCCGCGGUACAUUAGCCAGUUGGUGGGGUAAUGGCCUACCAAGGCGACGAUGUAUAGCCGACCUGAGAGGGUGACCGGCCACACUGGGACUGAGACACGGCCCAGACUCCUACGGGAGGCAGCAGUAGGGAAUUUUCCGCAAUGGGCGAAAGCCUGACGGAGCAACGCCGCGUGAGAGAAGACGGUUUUCGGAUUGUAAAUCUCUGUUUUUGGGGAAGAAGUAAGUGACGGUACCCAAAGAGGAAGCUCCGGCUAACUACGUGCGAGCAGCCGCGGUAAUACGUAGGGGGCAAGCGUUAUCCGGAAUUAUUGGGCGUAAAGAGCACGUAGGCGGCAGAUUAAGUUGGUUGUAAAAGGCAAUGACGUAACCAUUGUAAGCGACCAAAACUGGUGUACUUGAGUUCAGAAGAGGAGAGUGGAAUUCCCGGUGUAGCGGUGGAAUGCGUAGAGAUCGGGAGGAACACCAGUGGCGAAGGCGCCUCUCCGACCUGUAACUGACGCUGAGGCGCGAAAGCGUGGGGAGCGAACAGGAUUACAUACCCUGGUAGUCCACGCCGUAAAUGAUGGUGCAUGGUUAUAGUCAGCUCGUGUCGUGAGAUGUUGGGUUCAGUCCCGCAACGAGCGCAACCCUUAUUUUUAGUUGCCAGCACUUUGGGUGGGCACUCUAAAGAGACAGCCGGGGAAAGCCGGAGGAAGGUGGGGAUGACGUCAAAUCAUCAUGCCCCUUAUGGCCUGGGCUACACACGUGCUACAAUGGCUGCAACAAAGGGAGGCAAGCCCGCGAGGAGGAGCUAAUCCCAAAAACCAGUCACAGUUCGGAUCCCAGGCCGCAACUCGCCUACGUGAAGUCGGAAUCGCAGAUCAGCAUGCUGCGGUGAAUACGUUCCCGGGCCUUGUACACACUGCCCGUCGCACCACGAGAGUUUGAAACACCCGAAGUCGGUCAGGUAACCGUAAGGAGCUAGCCGCCGAAGGUGGAGCAGAUGAUUAGG